Molecule: long non-coding RNA, 999 nt
Organism: Dendroctonus ponderosae (mountain pine beetle)
Lineage: Eukaryota; Metazoa; Arthropoda; Insecta; Coleoptera; Curculionidae
Exons: 2
Source: RefSeq, a predicted model, not a curated record
CCUUAAAAUUAAAAAAAAUACGGGGUCAUUUUUAGAUUUGUUAUUUCUAAACAUGAUGUCUGUUGUUUAAUUCUCGACGGAGUGGUGGAGAAAUGAGCGCGUGAGUUCAAUUGGUUCCUGGGAUAUGAGCAAAAAUGUAGCGCAUGAUUGAAGCGAUAGUCGAUAGCAAAUCUUGUACCUAAAAAGGUAGGAAAAGUGGUGCACAAAAAUAACGCUUAUUUUUUGCGCACUACUGCUACACUCUAUAGGUGAAAAAUAAAUCAAUAUGAGAUGAAGACGUUUACCUUUCUAUGCCUUCAUGAAGUAAAAAUGUAACCAGACCAAACGCUGCAGGAGCUUUGUGCAACAUUAUUGCAAGAAAUACAAUGAUUUCCACAUCAGCAUGACUAGUCGUGGCUGCAGCACCUAAGAAUAAAAAAAUCAAAAUUUUGAAUAAAUGGAAAUUAACUGAACCAAAAGUCCAAUUAAUUAAUCAAAAUAUUUGGAGUAAUUGGGUUUAAGACAAAUCAAAGCCAUUACAAGUGGCAAUAGAUGCGAGAUCAGCAAAACGACUUGUUUCGGAUUAAUUCUCUCCGAACUCGAAACUAGAAUCCAUUCUUGCAACAUUACGUAAUGAAAAACAACGUUUCAUGUUGUAAGCAUUUCGAUGCAAUGUUGAUCCAACUGAAAAUGAAUCAACGAAGUGCGCUAGGCUGAAAUCGGUCAAAACUGUUGAUCCUCGCACCGGAAAACCGACAUAACAAUGGAAUUACAUUAUGGCAUUUUUACGGUUAAUAAACAGAAUUUAUACUGCUAUUGAGCAAAUCUAUUGCGGUUACUUAAUACUCAAAUAUUUCCUAGGUUUUCUUACAUUUUAACCCAUGGGUCAUUGAAAUAUUACUUACUAAUUAUAGGUACUUUUGUAUCGCCUAUAUCGGUGUUUUAACGGAACAAUACAAAACCAUGACUCAAAUUGUUACAUAUCUAAUGAUAGUAAAAUUAAACCCCACUGGUUAGUAA